This is an RNA transcript of Hipposideros armiger (great roundleaf bat), 1422 nucleotides long. It is a transcript of the gene named dynein light chain Tctex-type 2, with no coding region annotated. The record is from RefSeq and is a predicted model, not a curated record. Lineage: Eukaryota; Metazoa; Chordata; Mammalia; Chiroptera; Hipposideridae. The transcript is spliced from 4 exons.
CCAUGACUUCCGGCUCCCAGCCGCGGGCGCCGCCGGAUGACGUACCCGCCCCGCCCCCUCCAGCCGCGCCCCCGGCUGGCGCUGCGCAGGCGCGACACUUGCGCUCUCGCGGGAAGCGGCCGAGGCGUUUGGAGGCGCCCGCGGUCGAGGCGCUCCUGGUCUCGGAAGGAGGGCGCGAUGGAGAAGCGGGGCCGCGGUGGCAACAUGCCGUCGAGCCAGACCCUGCAGCUGCCGGCCACGGCGCCUCAGAAAGAGCGGAGGCCCAGCAUGUUCGAGAAGGAGUCCUAUGCACAGAUUUUAAGAGAAAGACUGAAGGAGUCAUCUCAUGAAGUUCAGUAUAUAGAGCCUCCGUUUGAUGAUUCGAUUACUGAUAUAGGAAAAGAAUGGAAGAGUACCCUAGCUAAAUUACGGUUUGCAAAUUCAUAUAGAAUGGAGCCACUGAAAAAAUUCCAAGCUUAUUCAGUGGAGACAAAAGUCCAGCAGAUACUAAAGGUCGCCAGCCAAUGGAUCUGGGAUGUUAAGUGGGACAGCUGGGUCGCAGCUAAACAUGAAACGGAAACGUACGUGGCACUGGCCUUGGUGUUUGCUGUUUAUUGUGAAUAGCUCGCUGCAUGUCCUAAGGAAUGUUUACUUCUCGACAUCCGUGAAACUUAUAGAUUUGUGAACGGCACAGUAGUUUUGAUUAGUCUCUCUCCAGAUGUACAACACUUUGUCUCCUGCUUCUCCACCAGCCUGACUUUUUCCCAAGGAGAGUCCAACUGAAAGCCGCUUUUUCUCUCAGGGCCAGGGCCUCAGAGCCAGGAGGUGGGUAGGUGGCCCCUCUGACCUUAGCGCCUCUAGCAGCUGGAAAUUUGAGUAUCUGGAUAUACAGCCCUUCACAUCUGUGUGUCACCCUGGCUGCUAGUCCCCUGGCUUGUUCCUUCUCAUCACCUGGAGACUUCAGCUUCCGGAUCACAAGCUUCAUCUCUACUUGGCUCCUGCCACCAUUCUUUGUGACUUCACUUCCAUGCAGAUAAUCAUCCAACAAGGCAGUCCUCGCUUCGUGCCGUCUGAUAGGCACACACCUCAUUACCACAGUGUACGAGUAGUUAAACACCAGUCCCCAACAAUAUGUUCUGACUUUCAGUUGCCACGGUGUAUUACCUGGGAGUGAUUUGGGAAAGAGCAAACUCCACAGCUAACUCUCCAGUGCACACAUCUUUAUGUAAAUAACAGAUAGCUUCACGAUCCUUUUUCCAAGUCUGUCAGUCGUUGGUCAUGGCACAUCUGUUACUCGGCUCACAGCAAAGCUUGUGGUUGUGUUGUCUCCUUGUCUCCCAGUGACAAAUCCAUGCGACGUGUUACAAAAUGGGCCAUUAAAAGAAGGAAUUGGCGGGGCCGGCCGAGUGGCGCAUUAGUUAAGAGCUGGCUUGGGAUGCCAGA